Molecule: ribosomal RNA, 473 nt
Filed under: uncultured bacterium
Lineage: Bacteria
Description: bacterial SSU rRNA
Rfam family: Bacterial small subunit ribosomal RNA
Source: RNAcentral
GACGAACGCUGGCGGCGUGCCUAAUACAUGCAAGUCGUACGCAAUUGAUCCACCGAGUGCUUGCACUCACCGGAUCGUUGAGUGGCGCACGGGUGAGUAACACGUGGGUAACCUGCCCACCAGAGGGGGAUAACAGUCGGAAACGAUUGCUAAUACCGCAUAGGUUGAACGACCGCAUGGUCGCUCAAGGAAAGACGGCUUUGGCUGUCACUGGUGGAUGGACCCGCGGCGUAUUAGUUAGUUGGUGAGGUAACGGCUCACCAAGACAAUGAUACGUAGCCGACCUGAGAGGGUGAUCGGCCACAUUGGGACUGAGACACGGCCCAAACUCCUACGGGAGGCAGCAGUAGGGAAUCUUCCGCAAUGGACGAAAGUCUGACGGAGCAACGCCGCGUGAGUGAAGAAGGUUUUCGGAUCGUAAAACUCUGUUGUUAGAGAAGAACAUGUCUGAGAGUAACUGUUCAGGCAUUGAC